This 872-nucleotide long non-coding RNA is filed under the name Fukomys damarensis (Damara mole-rat). Its description in RNAcentral is "lncRNA (ENSFDAG00000033391.1)". Lineage: Eukaryota; Metazoa; Chordata; Mammalia; Rodentia; Bathyergidae. The record is from RNAcentral.
CUUUGGACUUCCAGAGGUAAAAUUCCAGAGAUAAUGCUCUUCAUUUUGUUUAGAUAACAUGACUCUCCUGUAUGUGAACAAAUCUUUAAAGGCUACAAUAAAGGAUGAAGGAGUUGAUUGGGAUGACAGCACCAUUUCUAGAGUGAUGUGCUUGCCAUGGUUCGGCCAGCUGAUUCUACCUGGAGAAAAUAUGGAAUUGCCUAUGGCUUUACGGAUACUCACAAGCUACACCUAACUGCCAGGCUCCACCUCUGGGCUGCCAUCUUGCCCACGCAGGCCACCUCCCCACGUUCUUUGUCCCGGGCGCUCCAGGCCAGCCCUCUGCUGCAGGGGAAGAACCGGAAGCGGAAGUACACUGCCCUGAGGACCAACACGUCUGACUGUCAUGCCGUGAAGCCUUAUUUUAUUUAUCAUGUUGAUUUGAUCACUUUUUUCUGCUGAAAAAUAAUACUCACUGUUGACCAUUGGGAAAAGGUAAAAGAAAAAGGAAAUAGAGCCACGGGUUCUACCUGAAGACAAUCAAAUCAGUAUUUACAAUUUUGGUGAGUAUUCUCCCACGAAUUUUUUCCCAAUCAUAUUUGAACGACAGACUGGAUUAUGCUGCAGUGAAAACAAAAACAAAAAGAUCCUAAUUUCAGUGGGUGAAAUGCAUAUGGGUUUAUUUCUCCUUGGGCCCUUUGUGGAUCCCAAGUCUAACAGGCAGGAUCAACUAAUAGUAUGAACAACGGUACAUCAUUUCUGGAUAUUUUUUUCUCAUUCCAAAGAAAUACACAGCUGACAGAAGAAGAUUCAAGAACUCAGCAGAGCAUGAGGAGCAUAAAAAUCACUUUUAGUCCUGCCAUUCACCUAUCACCUUUUAAGGCACUUGGGGC